RNAcentral lists this ribosomal RNA (254 nucleotides) under uncultured bacterium. RNAcentral's name for it is "partial 16S ribosomal RNA". It matches the Rfam family "Bacterial small subunit ribosomal RNA", at positions 524 to 776 of the family's 1533-position model. The record is from RNAcentral.
UACGUAGGGGGCCAGCGUUGCUCGGAAUUACUGGGCGUAAAGGGUCCGUAGGCGGUGUAGCAAGUCGAUAGUGAAAUCUCUGGGCUUAACCCAGAGGCUGCUAACGAAACUGCUGUGCUAGAGUGUGAGAGAGGCGAGUGGAAUUACGGGUGUAGCGGUGAAAAUGCGUAGAUAUCCGUAGGAACAUCCGAGGCGAAGGCGGCUCGCUGGAUCACAACUGACGCUGAGGGACGAAAGCUAGGGGAGCAAACAGG